GCACUGGUGGUUCAGUGGUAGAAUUCUCGCCUGCCACGCGGGAGGCCCGGGUUCAAUUCCCAGCCAAUGCA
Molecule: non-coding RNA, 71 nt
Organism: Gracilinanus agilis (Agile Gracile Mouse Opossum)
Lineage: Eukaryota; Metazoa; Chordata; Mammalia; Didelphimorphia; Didelphidae
Source: the annotation of a RefSeq genome assembly